ACCAUAGUUCAGUGGUAGAGCAUCUGCCUUGUAUGCAGGACCCAAGUUCAAUCCCCAGUAUCUCUA
Molecule: non-coding RNA, 66 nt
Organism: Podarcis lilfordi (Lilford's wall lizard)
Lineage: Eukaryota; Metazoa; Chordata; Lepidosauria; Squamata; Lacertidae
Source: the annotation of a GenBank genome assembly